CCAGCAACUUGGAAGAAUGUAUAACGACUAUUCGUAUAAAAUUCUAGAUAGAAAACUGAUAAUGACUACUAUCUAUCUAUUAGUCUUGACCAAAUUACGUGCCAGCAGUCGCGGCAACACGCAGAAGACAAGUGUUAUUCAUCUUUAUUCGGUUUAAAGGGUACCUAGACGGGAAAUCAAGCCAUAGUAGGGACUAAUUUUCUAGAGUUUUAUGGGAAAAAGUGGAAUGUCUGGAAAAGAGAUAUAAUGUUGUGAAACUGGAUAGACGGGUAACGGCGUAGGCAACUUUUUAUGUAAAAACUGACGUUGAGGGACGAAGCCCUGGGUAGCGAUAGGGAUUAGAUACCCCAGUAGUCCGGGGAGACAAUGAUGAGUGCCAUAGGCUAGAUAAAUUAGUCUAUAAAUGAAAGUGCAAGCAUUCCACCUCAAGACUAAAGCGGCAACGCCCAAAUUGAAAUCAUUAGGCCGCUAUUGAAACCAGUAGUGAUGUAUGUUAUUUAAUUCGAUGAUCCGCGAAUAACCUUACCACGUUUUGAAUAUUUUUGAAAAAGCAUUUUAAAGAGUGUUUUUUCUAAGCUUUUCAGUAGUGCAAAAAUUAUACAAGCGCUGCACGGCUGUCUUUAGUUAAUGUCGUGAGACUUUGGUUAAUUCCAAGAAUUAACGAAAACCCUAGUUUUAUUUAUUUAAAUAAAACAAUUCUCAUCUGUAAAGGAUAAGUUAAGAGGGAUUAAGGCAAGUC
This 739-nucleotide ribosomal RNA is filed under the name Psora decipiens. RNAcentral describes it as "mitochondrial SSU rRNA". It matches the Rfam family "Bacterial small subunit ribosomal RNA", at positions 388 to 1191 of the family's 1533-position model. Lineage: Eukaryota; Fungi; Ascomycota; Lecanoromycetes; Lecanorales; Psoraceae. The record is from RNAcentral.